RNAcentral lists this ribosomal RNA (744 nucleotides) under uncultured bacterium. Its description in RNAcentral is "bacterial SSU rRNA". It matches the Rfam family "Bacterial small subunit ribosomal RNA", at positions 8 to 796 of the family's 1533-position model. The record is from RNAcentral.
AGAGUUUGAUCCUGGCUCAGAACGAACGCUGGCGGCAUGCCUAACACAUGCAAGUCGAACGCGUGUAGCAAUACACGAGUGGCGCACGGGUGAGUAACGCGUGGGAACCUGCCCUGGAGUGCGGGAUAACCCGGCGAAAGCCGGGCUAAUACCGCAUACGCCCUGAGGGGGAAAGAUUUAUCGCUCUAGGAGGGGCCCGCGUCGGAUUAGCUAGUUGGUGAGGUAACGGCUCACCAAGGCGAUGAUCCGUAGCUGGUCUGAGAGGAUGAUCAGCCACACUGGGACUGAGACACGGCCCAGACUCCUACGGGAGGCAGCAGUGGGGAAUAUUGGACAAUGGGGGCAACCCUGAUCCAGCAAUGCCGCGUGAGUGAUGAAGGCCUUAGGGUUGUAAAGCUCUUUCGCCCACGACGAUGAUGACGGUAGUGGGAGAAGAAGCCCCGGCUAACUUCGUGCCAGCAGCCGCGGUAAUACGAAGGGGGCGAGCGUUGUUCGGAAUUACUGGGCGUAAAGGGCGCGCAGGCGGCCCUUGAAGUCAGGCGUGAAAGCCCCGGGCUCAACCUGGGAAUUGCGCUUGAUACUCGAGGGCUUGAGUGCGGGAGAGGAGAGUGGAAUUCCCAGUGUAGAGGUGAAAUUCGUAGAUAUUGGGAAGAACACCGGUGGCGAAGGCGGCUCUCUGGACCGUAACUGACGCUGAGGCGCGAAAGCGUGGGGAGCAAACAGGAUUAGAUACCCCCGUAGUCC